This is a long non-coding RNA of Malaya genurostris, 439 nucleotides long. RefSeq lists it as uncharacterized. NCBI's taxonomy places the organism in Eukaryota, Metazoa, Arthropoda, Insecta, Diptera, Culicidae. The record is from RefSeq and is a predicted model, not a curated record. The transcript has 2 exons.
UUUUAGAUAAUAGUUACUACAGCCUUGGUUACGUUUUCUUUUCCAUUGAAAAAUAUAAAUAAAGCAAAGCAAUUAUGUGAGUAGAGCGAUAGAAGAAAGAGUAAACGAUUAAAAAUAACCUUUUUAUAUGAAAAAGGCAAAAGACUGCGGUCAACCUGAAACCUACUUAAGAAAAUGAAACGGCUACGGACAAUCGUGGACCGAAUUGCCAAGUUGCUUAUUACUGAGACUUAAUUUCUGUAAGGACCAUGGACAUUUCUGAUGAAUUUCAAUUCAUCUACCAUCGCGGUAGUCGAGUCAAGAAUAUCAUAUCUACGGUUCUACCGCCGAGUACAAACGAGGACGUGCCGUCGUUUUACAAAGUGAUGUAGUGUGUAUUUUACCGAAUCAGAUCUAAUCAUCUGAAAAUUAUAAAUAAAAAUCAUAAACAAUGGUGAAA